This 468-nucleotide ribosomal RNA is filed under the name uncultured bacterium. Its description in RNAcentral is "partial 16S ribosomal RNA". It matches the Rfam family "Bacterial small subunit ribosomal RNA", at positions 28 to 507 of the family's 1533-position model. The record is from RNAcentral.
GACGAACGCUGGCGGCGUGCUUAACACAUGCAAGUCGAACGGAAAGGCCCUGCUUUUGUGCGAUGCUCGAGUGGCGAACGGGUGAGUAACCCGUGAGUCACCUUCACUUGACUUGGUGAUAACUCCAGAUAACUGGGGCUAAUACCGGAUAGGAUCUCCUGCUGCAUGGUGAGGAUUGACAAGUUUCGGCGGUUGGGGAUGGACUCGAGGCUUAUCAGCUUGUUGGCCGGGUAGUGGCUUACCAAGGCUUUGAGGGGUAGCCGGCCUGAGAGGGUGACCGGCCACAUUGUGACUGAGCUGCGGCUCAUACUCCUACUUGAGUCAACAGUGGAGUAUAUUGUACAAUGGUCGGAAGCCUGAUGCGGCAACGCCGCGUGCGGGAUGACGGCCUUCGGGUUGUAAACCGCUUUCGCCUGUUACGGAUCGUUAGUGACGGUAAUGGGUAAAGAAGCACCGGCUAACUACGUG